AAUGAGAUGCCUGAAACCCUAAGGACUAUUUUGAUAGAAUAGAAUAUGUAAGUAAUUACUCUCAUUA
This 67-nucleotide transfer RNA is filed under the name Nitidulidae sp. KM-2017. Its description in RNAcentral is "tRNA-Ile". The record is from RNAcentral. Lineage: Eukaryota; Metazoa; Arthropoda; Insecta; Coleoptera; Nitidulidae.